AAAGGUCUUGCUGACUUCAAAUGUGGGACUACCUUAAAAUACUUCAUGCGUGAAAAUACUGAAUUUUCAUCAGAUUCUUCAGAGAGAAAAGAGAGAUGUGCUAGGGAAGAGGAGAAAGAGGCCACUAACACUUGCCACCGGGAGAGUGUUUUUACUUAAUGGUGGUGAAGAAAUGAAGAAGACAACACUCUCCUUGAAAGUAUCUCAGGAAUUGCCGGUGUUUAUAAUUGUUGUUACUCUACUUAUUUGAAGUACUCAAGAUAUUAUACCAGCUGGUGCAUCCAGUUCCAUCAAUACUUCUUUGCAGCUUGCACAGGUACAAGAAACGAAGUGAUAUUUCAGAGUAGUAAGUAAAUUUGAAGAUGUGUAUUCUACAUGGAAGGUAAACUAUAUCCAUGCUUUAAUGUUAGGUAAGGAAGCUGAGGUUGCAUAUUAUAAAUGUGCCUGUGGGACUUGGAAUUGAUUCCCUUAAAAGAUAGUGGAAUCAACACACACAAAAAAAAUGACAAUUAUAGAAAUCUACCUAUCUGCCUAAGAUGGUGAAGAACAAAUGGGCUACUUUCCUAUCUUUGAAAAAAGUAACUGAAAGCUAUGGCUGGUGCCACAUAUGAGUGAAUUACACUAUAGAGAGGGCACAAGCUGAAAAAUUAAAGUACGGUUCUUAAUCAAUAAAUCUUGGGAACCUCAGGAGAAACAUCAAGUAUACAACUCAUGAUGCAAGCAAAAACUAAUUCUCACAAAAUUUAAA
Callithrix jacchus (white-tufted-ear marmoset) is the source of this 748-nucleotide long non-coding RNA. RefSeq lists it as uncharacterized. The record is from RefSeq and is a predicted model, not a curated record. Lineage: Eukaryota; Metazoa; Chordata; Mammalia; Primates; Cebidae.